UACGAAGGGGGCUAGCGUUGCUCGGAAUCACUGGGCGUAAAGGGUGCGUAGGCGGCCCUUUAAGUCCGGGGUGAAAUCCUGGAGCUCAACUCCAGAACUGCCUUUGAUACUGAGGAUCUUGAGUUCGGGAGAGGUGAGUGGAACUGCGAGUGUAGAGGUGAAAUUCGUAGAUAUUCGCAAGAACACCAGUGGCGAAGGCGGCUCACUGGCCCGAUACUGACGCUGAGGCACGAAAGCGUGGGGAGCAAACAGG
RNAcentral lists this ribosomal RNA (253 nucleotides) under uncultured bacterium. Its description in RNAcentral is "partial 16S ribosomal RNA". It matches the Rfam family "Bacterial small subunit ribosomal RNA", at positions 524 to 776 of the family's 1533-position model. The record is from RNAcentral.